Molecule: signal recognition particle RNA, 298 nt
Filed under: Aotus nancymaae (Ma's night monkey)
Lineage: Eukaryota; Metazoa; Chordata; Mammalia; Primates; Aotidae
Description: Metazoan signal recognition particle RNA (ENSANAG00000006955.1)
Rfam family: Metazoan signal recognition particle RNA
About the family: The signal recognition particle (SRP) is a universally conserved ribonucleoprotein.
Source: RNAcentral
GCAGGGUGCGGUGGCGUGUGCCUGUAGUCCCAGCUACUCGGGAGGCUGAGGUGGGAGGAUCGCUUGAGCCGAGGAGUUCUGGGCUGCAGUGCGCUAUGCCAAUCGGGUGUCGGCACUUAGUUGGGCAUCAAUAUGGUGACCUCCCGGGAGCGGGAGACCAACAGGUUGCCUAUGGAGGGGUGAACUGGCCCAGGUCAGAAAUGGAGAAGGUCAAAAUUCCCAUGCUGAUCAGUAGUGGGAUCGCGCCUGUGAUUAGCCACUGCACUCCAGCCUGGGCAACAUAGGAGACCCCGUCUAU